CCUCUCCUCUUCCUCCCGCCUCACCUCUCUCUCUCCCCUUCGAAACCCUAGCCUCCCCCUCAUGCCCACUCCUUUCUUCCCCAACCCCUCCCACGAAAACCCUAGCCGCCUUUUCAGCCCGCGCCACGGUCGCCUUCAAUGGCCUGCCACUCGCGCCGCCGCUUCCCCGUCAAGCUCGCGCGUCACGCCUCGGGAGAAGAGGAAGCCCACGCCGCUGUUCCCGACGGAGCGCGCCGUCGCGCCUUCGACGGAAGGAGGCCAGACGGAUCGCGCCACCGCCGCCGCCACUCAUUCGCGCCUCCUCCUCUCCACCGGAUCGCGACCGACCCUUCCUUGUGCCAGCCCCUCGUGGCCAUGAAGGGUGGCCGAGCCACCGAGAGUGGCGGCGGUGGCCUGCUGCGGCUCCCUCUUCUUCCUCGUCGGCGGUGGCCUACACUUAAUGAUUCUAAGUUUCUAACAUAAAAUAAAAGUAUUACACUGUCAGACGAAAAAAUUCAGAACCUCGGUAGUUGUCGAUGAGUCGAACCCAUUUUAGAAUUACAUUUCUACACCUAAUCUCUGGGAGAAGUCAACGUAGUACAUACAUAUUACUAAGGUUCUUCUUGAAUAUGCAACAAACAGAUAGUUCAGACAUGCUCGACAUUGUUGUAGACUACAUCAAAGUACUGAGGACCAAAUUGAGGUAUCCUCCACAGAGAUACAACCGUGUUACAUAGCACACACUUCCAGUAGGCCUUGCUAACAAUAUCAUUUUGCACUGCAUGUUAACAUGUUUUCUUAAUUUUGUACACAAGUAUAAACUGACUAGGUAACGUCAUAUUUAUUACUAGAAUGAAAGGGAGUAACUUAUUCAUCCUUAAAUGGAAUCAUGCAGAAACUAAAACAGGACCAAGGAAACUGCUCCUGCUCAGCCGAUCAGAAGUGCUGACGCCGCAGAACUAGAUAUGCGAGGUUAUGUUUGCACCAGUGUGAUUAGCAAGACCAAGUCUUGCUCAUGAGAUAAGUUGUAAAUGUCCUUCGCAUUGCGUUUCAAGUAGUCUACAUGCUCAUCUUCUCCUUCCUUGGUUGUACUAUGGUUUAGCUUCAAUGGCUUCAAGACUAGGAGGUGACAAGUAGAAUGUUGUAAUUUAAGUAUUAAGGCAUUACCAAUCUUUCAUUUCAAUGCAAGUUGGAUUGCUUCUGCUUAUCAUCAUUUUGCCUGGUAAAAUUAUUGUAGGGAUCCUCUGCCUUGAGUCCAUUUCUGGCUAUCAAAGUUCAUUUUUCUGGAUUGCUAGACUUAGCACGAAGUGAUAUGUCCUGGCACAAAAUAUGUACCUCCUGCCUACUCCCCCCAAAAAAAUUUGGACCCAAUGAGUUCUUCCAAAUUUUCAACCGUAAAACAUUCAUGUUAACCUUAUUCGCCAAUUCACUUGUAAGUUGAUCUCUCCAGGUUGCAGGCACACAUUAUAACCAGGUUACUCUCAGUGCCUCCUUUUGUUAAUAGGUAGCUAUAUGCAAGAUAUAUUUGCACUCGUUGGCAGUACUAAAGACAGUUUGCGAAAGUCAAGUGUGUUAAACCGUAAAGAUUAGACCAAUGGAUAUCAGAAAAAAAGAGUUCGGCCAGGUGAUGCUUCAUGCCUCAUAUGAUAAAUUGCCGAGACAACCAACAUAUAACCGUACUAUUGUUGGGCCAAUUGAUGAUAGGUGUACAUUAAUAUGUUUCAAAAAAAAGAUCCAUGAUGUGGAACAUAGUGCAAUGGUGAGAUCCACUUAUUUAUGAUGGUGAGUAAUUAGCCUGGCAUGUGGAGUUGUACUAAUAAUCUAUGAGAAGGACCUCACAUCACAACACCCGAGCAAGUCUAGCAAGGCUUGCUCACCAUGGCCUACCGCGCCGGACCGACGGGGCGAGCACGUGAUCAUCAUUAGUAGGUCCUUCGUCACAACACCCUAGCGAGCGAGAUGUUCAGACAGAGAUAUAUGAUACACCACUAUCAACAUAUGUCAUAGACAAACAAUAUAUAUCGUUCUCUUCACAAGCACAAGACUUGAUUUUGGUAAAUUGUGUUACCAUUUCUGUGACAUCAACAUUUGGAAUGACAUGCCAUCUAAAUCCUCUAUAAUAACUGAACCAUUACUAUUACAAGCAACCUCCUACAUCUUCCUUUCAAGAAUUCAGAUGAUGCUUUAGUUGUUUAUAUACAUAUGCCAUCUCUUAUGUCUGAAAUAUGUGUUGUAAUUUCGGGUUGGCUGGCACCUGGCAGUCUGCACUUCCUCUCUACUUGUGACGCCCCAUCAUGUUGGUUUACAUUUGGAGCCAAAAUGCUGCUGAGCAUUUGGUGUGACUGAUUGCACUGUCCAUUUGAUGUUGUCUAGACAUAUGCUAUGCAUUGGACACAAUUAUGUUAUCUGUAAAGGCAAUUUCCUGCCUUUAUGCAUUAAAUCGAUUCAUUCUCGACAACUAUUCUCACAACAAUAUGUACUUUGUUUACAGGUUUGGACCAUGGGUUGAGCCAGGCACCAUGUGCCGAAGGCCUGUUUCCUAUCUUCUAUGUUUUUUUGUAUGUGGCAUCAGUAUUGAUUCAAUAGUUUCGAUGUUUCUGUACAAUGUUGGAAAUAGAUGGGUAGCACUGUCCCUAUAAAUUCUUCUUUUCUUUUUUGUCCAAACUUGAACAAAAAAGAAAUUACGGAAGAUGUUUUAUUGCCCCAUUGUAUUAUUAUUGGUUUCCCACAGAGUAGGUUCAUGUACGCUUCUUUGCUAAUGUAAGGCUAAAAAUAACCAUGGUUUU
Triticum aestivum (bread wheat) is the source of this 2765-nucleotide long non-coding RNA. RefSeq lists it as uncharacterized. Lineage: Eukaryota; Viridiplantae; Streptophyta; Magnoliopsida; Poales; Poaceae. The record is from RefSeq and is a predicted model, not a curated record. The transcript is spliced from 5 exons.